RNAcentral lists this ribosomal RNA (571 nucleotides) under Penicillium sp. G22. RNAcentral describes it as "eukaryotic LSU rRNA". It matches the Rfam family "Eukaryotic large subunit ribosomal RNA", at positions 62 to 648 of the family's 3401-position model. The record is from RNAcentral. Lineage: Eukaryota; Fungi; Ascomycota; Eurotiomycetes; Eurotiales; Aspergillaceae.
AAACCAACCGGGAUUGCCCUAGUAACGGCGAGUGAAGCGGCAAGAGCUCAAAUUUGAAAGCUGGCCCCCGCGGGGUCCGCAUUGUAAUUUGCAGAGGAUGCUUCGGGAGCGGUCCCCAUCUAAGUGCCCUGGAACGGGCCGUCAUAGAGGGUGAGAAUCCCGUAUGGGAUGGGGUGCCCGCGCCCGUGUGAAGCUCCUUCGACGAGUCGAGUUGUUUGGGAAUGCAGCUCUAAUUGGGUGGUAAAUUUCAUCUAAAGCUAAAUAUUGGCCGGAGACCGAUAGCGCACAAGUAGAGUGAUCGAAAGAUGAAAAGCACUUUGAAAAGAGAGUUAAAAAGCACGUGAAAUUGUUGAAAGGGAAGCGCUUGCGAUCAGACUCGCCUGCGGGGUUCAGCCGGCCUUCGGGCCGGUGUACUUCCCCGCGGGCGGGCCAGCGUCGGUUUGGGCGGCCGGUCAAAGGCCCCUGGAAUGUAACGCCUCUCGGGGCGUCUUAUAGCCAGGGGUGCCAUGCGGCCUGCCCGGACCGAGGAACGCGCUUCGGCUCGGACGCUGGCAUAAUGGUCGUAAGCGAC